Molecule: ribosomal RNA, 800 nt
Filed under: uncultured Geobacter sp.
Lineage: Bacteria; Pseudomonadati; Thermodesulfobacteriota; Desulfuromonadia; Geobacterales; Geobacteraceae
Description: bacterial SSU rRNA
Rfam family: Bacterial small subunit ribosomal RNA
Source: RNAcentral
AGAGUUUGAUCCUGGCUCAGAACGAACGCUGGCGGCGUGCCUAACACAUGCAAGUCGAACGGAGGCAAGGGGCUUGCUCCUUGCUUUAGUGGCGCACGGGUGAGUAACGCGUGGAUAAUCUGCCCGAUGCUCUGGGAUAACAUCUCGAAAGGGGUGCUAAUACCGGAUAAGCCCACGGACUCUUCGGAGUUUGCGGGAAAAGGGGGGGACCUCCGGGCCUCCUGACAUCGGAUGAGUCCGCGUCCCAUUAGCUAGUUGGUGGGGUAAAGGCCUACCAAGGCGACGAUGGGUAGCUGGUCUGAGAGGAUGAUCAGCCACACUGGAACUGAGACACGGUCCAGACUCCUACGGGAGGCAGCAGUGGGGAAUUUUGCGCAAUGGGGGCAACCCUGACGCAGCAACGCCGCGUGAGUGAUGAAGGCCUUUGGGUCGUAAAGCUCUGUCAGAGGGAAAGAAAUGUGGGCGACUAAUAAUUGUUCCACUUGACGGUACCCUCAAAGGAAGCACCGGCUAACUCCGUGCCAGCAGCCGCGGUAAUACGGAGGGUGCGAGCGUUGUUCGGAAUUAUUGGGCGUAAAGCGCGUGUAGGCGGCUUAUUAAGUCUGAUGUGAAAGCCCUGGGCUCAACCUGGGAAGUGCAUUGGAUACUGGUAGACUUGAGUACGGGAGAGGGCAGUGGAAUUCCCAGUGUAGGAGUGAAAUCCGUAGAUAUUGGGAGGAACACCGGUGGCGAAGGCGGCUGCCUGGACCGAUACUGACGCUGAGACGCGAAAGCGUGGGGAGCAAACAGGAUUAGAUACC